This 512-nucleotide long non-coding RNA is filed under the name Salmo salar (Atlantic salmon). RNAcentral describes it as "lncRNA (ENSSSAG00000092874.1)". The record is from RNAcentral. Lineage: Eukaryota; Metazoa; Chordata; Actinopteri; Salmoniformes; Salmonidae.
GGUGUUCUUUAUCUCUCAUCAUACUUCACGUGUUCUUUAACUCUCUUCAUAGUUCAGGUGUACUUUAUCUCUCCUCUUAGUUCAGGUGUUCUUUAUCUCUCCUCGUAGUUCAGGAGUUCUUUAUCUCUCAUCAUAGUUCAGGUGUUCUUUAUCUCUCCUCAUAGUUCAGGUGUUCUUUGACUUUCAGCAUAGUUCAGGUGUUCUUUAACUCUCCUCAUAGUUCAGGUGUUCUUCAUCUGUCAUCAUAGUUCAGGUAUUUUUUAUCUCUCCUCAUAGUUCAGGUGUUCUUUAUCUCUCAUCAUAGUUCAGGUGUUCUUUAACUCUCCUCAUAGUUCAGGUGUUCUUUAUCUCUCCUCAUAGUUCAGGUGUUCUUUAUCUCUCAUCAUAGUUCAGGUGUUCUUUAUCUCUCCUCAUAGUUCAGGUGUUCUUUAACUCUCCUCAUGGUUCAGGUUUCUUUAUCUCUCAUCAAUCAUAGUUCAGGUUUUCUUUAUCUCUCAUCAAUCAUAGUUCAG